GACGAACGCUGGCGGCGUGCUUAACACAUGCGAGUCGAACGGAAAGGCCUUUUCGGCGGUACUCGAGUGGCGAACGGGUGAGUAACACGUGGGUGAUCUGCCCUGCACUCUGGGAUAAGCCUGGGAAACUGGGUCUAAUACCGGAUAGGACCGCACUUUAGUGUGUGUGGUGGAAAGUUUUUUCGGUGUAGGAUGAGCCCGCGGCCUAUCAGCUUGUUGGUGGGGUAAUGGCCUACCAAGGCGGCGACGGGUAGCCGGACUGAGAGGUUGGUCGGCCACAUUGGGACUGAGAUACGGCCCAGACUCCUACGGGAGGCAGCAGUGGGGAAUAUUGCACAAUGGGCGCAAGCCUGAUGCAGCGACGCCGCGUGGGGGAUGACGGCCUUCGGGUUGUAAACGCCUUUCGCCAGGGACGAAGCGUUUUGUGACGGUACCUGGAGAAGAAGCACCGGCUAACUACGUG
RNAcentral lists this ribosomal RNA (463 nucleotides) under uncultured bacterium. Its description in RNAcentral is "partial 16S ribosomal RNA". It matches the Rfam family "Bacterial small subunit ribosomal RNA", at positions 28 to 507 of the family's 1533-position model. The record is from RNAcentral.